UGGGGAAUCUUGCACAAUGGGGGAAACCCUGAUGCAGCGACGCCGCGUGAGCGAUGAAGCCCUUCGGGGUGUAAAGCUCUUUCGUCAGGGAAGAUUAUGACGGUACCUGGAGAAGCAGCUGCGGCUAACUACGUGCCAGCAGCCGCGGUAAUACGUAGGCAGCGAGCGUUGUUCGGAGUUACUGGGCGUAAAGGGUGUGUAGGCGGUUGUUUAAGUUUGGUGUGAAAUCUCCCGGCUUAACUGGGAGGGUGCGCCGAAUACUGAAUGACUUCGAGUGCGGGAGAGGAAAGUGGAAUUCCUGGUGUAGCGGUGAAAUGCGUAGAUAUCAGGAGGAACACCGGUGGUGUAGACGGCUUUCUGGACCGUAACUGACGCUGAGACACGAAAGCGUGGGUAGCAAACAGGAUUAGAUACCCUGGUAGUCCACGCCCUAAACGAUGCAUAUUUGGUGUGGGCAGUUCAUUCUGUCCGUGCCGGAGCUAACGCGUUAAAUAUGCCGCCUGGGGAGUACAGUCGCAAGGCUG
Molecule: ribosomal RNA, 524 nt
Filed under: uncultured bacterium
Lineage: Bacteria
Description: bacterial SSU rRNA
Rfam family: Bacterial small subunit ribosomal RNA
Source: RNAcentral